This 483-nucleotide ribosomal RNA is filed under the name uncultured bacterium. RNAcentral's name for it is "partial 16S ribosomal RNA". It matches the Rfam family "Bacterial small subunit ribosomal RNA", at positions 28 to 523 of the family's 1533-position model. The record is from RNAcentral.
GAUGAACGCUGGCGGCGUGCCUAAUACAUGCAAGUCGAGCGAACCACUUCGGUGGUGAGCGGCGAACGGGUGAGUAACACGUAGGUGAUCUGCCCAUCAGACGGGGACAACGAUUGGAAACGAUCGCUAAUACCGGAUAGGACGAAAGUUUUAAGGUGCUUCUGGCACCGCUGAUGGAUGAGCCCGCGGCGCAUUAGCUAGUUGGUAGGGUAAAGGCCUACCAAGGCGACGAUGCGUAGCCGACCUGAGAGGGUGAACGGCCACACUGGGACUGAGACACGGCCCAGACUCCUACGGGAGGCAGCAGUAGGGAAUCUUCGGCAAUGGGCGAAAGCCUGAUCGAGCAACGCCGCGUGAAUGAUGAAGGCCUUCGGGUUGUAAAAUUCUGUUAUAAGGGAAGAACGACUUUAGUAGGAAAUGGCUAGAGUGUGACGGUACCUUAUGAGAAAGCCACGGCUAACUACGUGCCAGCCGCCGCGGUAA